Molecule: small nucleolar RNA, 107 nt
Organism: Gossypium raimondii (Peruvian cotton)
Lineage: Eukaryota; Viridiplantae; Streptophyta; Magnoliopsida; Malvales; Malvaceae
Rfam family: Plant small nucleolar RNA R71
About the family: R71 is a member of the C/D box family of snoRNAs containing the C (UGAUGA) and D (CUGA) box motifs.
Source: Rfam
AAACCAUGCAUUGGACAUUUUCUCAGUAGUUCAUUGAAUGACUCUCAUGCUUCAUAUAAUGUUUCAUCCUCAGAUUUUCUAAAUGAUGUAAUAUCAUUCCUCAACUU